This 476-nucleotide long non-coding RNA is filed under the name Prunus persica (peach). RNAcentral's name for it is "long non-coding RNA (PPER_LNC005924)". Lineage: Eukaryota; Viridiplantae; Streptophyta; Magnoliopsida; Rosales; Rosaceae. The record is from RNAcentral.
GCUUGAUUAGAUUGGUUAUAAGAUGCUUCAUGCAAGAUUCUGUUUUGGCUUUUAGUUCUGUACUUUGGCAGUAUGAAUGAAAAUGGACAUAAGGUAUGAAAAAACCUAGGCUGAUAACCAUUUUUUUUUUUUUUUUUUUUUACUUUUUUGGAUAAUGGUGUGUGAUAAUUGUUGGGUUUUCUUUUCCUUAUUUUUUUGUGUUUAGGAUUUUUUUCAUUUUUCAUUUUUGUUCUUUUUUAAUUUCCAUGAGUUUGGACUUACUGCAGAAUAAAUUAACUCGUAAGUUUUAUUACAUUUGGGCUUCGCUAGCUCUUAUUGUAUGGUGUUUGUUUUUUCAUGAUCAUAAUGUUAUGAAAUUUAUUAAGGUUUAGGAUUUAGGGUAAAAGUGCAAUUUUUCUGAUUAAUGUGCAAUUUAUUUAAUGAGCAAUUUGUCUGAUUAUAUAGAUGGAGGUAAACCAGGGGGUGGAAGAAGGUUU